CCUACAAACAGGUUGCCUCCCUGGUCCUAGGCUGCUCAUGGCUGGGAUGUGGUUUACUAUAGAACCAAAGAAAGGCACUGAGGCUCUCAGGAAGCAAGCUCUGGACACUGAGGAAGGACUGUGUCCUAGUGUCCUCUGAUGUAGAAGUACUUCUCAGCUCUCCUUCAAAAGAUUUAAUGUUUUUAAUACUACAGAAUCCAGUGGCAUUCUUUGGGGGAUAAUAAAAUGAGAAAAUGAGUUUCGGGAGGUUACGACGUAAAUAGCUCAAGGUCACAGUUGCCUGUUCCUCCCGUGUGACGUGUGGCGGCAGACUGACAGGAACUGGAUCUUUGGGUCAUUUCCAACUUUUCUUCUUGUAUGUGGCCUCCCUAUGAAGUCUUCAAAGAAUGUCUCAGUUCUAAGAAAAGAGCCCCUAGCAAGCCCCACAGAUAUCUGUAAUAUGGUGAAGAAAAGAAGAACACUGAUGAAGAAGAUCCUGUAAGCAUUGUCUCUAAGCCCCCCUUCUCUCACCUCUGUACCCCCCAGCCUUGGAGAACACACAUACAGCAGCAUGACAAAGAACUGCUUUAUACUAUUACAAAAUAAAUAUAAAUAAUUGUUUGACACUAUAA
This 611-nucleotide long non-coding RNA is filed under the name Mus musculus (house mouse). RNAcentral describes it as "predicted gene, 50377". Lineage: Eukaryota; Metazoa; Chordata; Mammalia; Rodentia; Muridae. The record is from RNAcentral.